This 261-nucleotide ribosomal RNA is filed under the name uncultured bacterium. RNAcentral's name for it is "partial small subunit ribosomal RNA". It matches the Rfam family "Bacterial small subunit ribosomal RNA", at positions 26 to 285 of the family's 1533-position model. The record is from RNAcentral.
AGAAUCAACGCUGGCGGCGUGCCUAACACAUGCAAGUCGAACGAGAAAGUGGAGCAAUCCAUGAGUAAAGUGGCGACCGGGUGAGUAACACGUGACUAACCUACCCUCGAGUGGGGAAUAACUCCGGGAAACCGGAGCUAAUACCGCAUAACAUCUUCGGAACUCAGGUUCUGUUGAUCAAAGGAGCAAUUCGCUUGAGGAGGGAGUCGCGGCUGAUUAGCUAGUUGGCGGGGUAAUGGCCCACCAAGGCUUAGAUCGGUA